UGUUUUUGUUCAUGCUAUACUAGCAGUGUGAAACUUGCAGUGUGUCUAGUGAUUCUUUGAUAGUGCUAGUUCAGUUGGAUUUUUCAUUUCUUCUUGCACUGGGAUUUCCCUAUAAGCCACGUGAGUUACUGUUGCAUUUGUCAGUUUGUUUUACACUUUGUCUACUUACUUUAUAUAUUCUUUCCCAUUUACUGAAAUUUUGGCUUGUUUGAUUUUCUGGAUAGAUGUACCGAUAAUUCACCCUGUUUGCAUAUUUGUGUUUUGCAGAGUCAACUGAAGGCUAAGUGGGAAGAGUGGAAGAAAUUGCUUGAGAAGGCAAGAAAUGACGCUGAGAAGAAAUAUGAUGAAAUAAAUGAGCAGAAUAAAAUACUUCAUAGCCAUCUUGAAGCUUUGCAUAUUCGGAAGGCAAAGAAGGAGCGCAAUGCUGCUAGUAUAUCAUUUGGAAGUAGUAGUGCAGAUACAUUUGGUGAUGCUGGUCUUCAAACUGUGAUGACUUGUCUCCGGAAUUCAAAAGAAAUUGUAAAUACUUGUCAUGUGCUGCAAAUUUGUUUCGCUUGUAUAUUUGUAUAUUCAUUUUAAGUUCUCUACUUUCACAGUCAGAAACAGAAGUGUCAGCUUUGAUAUUAUUAGUAGUAAAUUUUAAGUGAUAUUAUGGUUA
This is a long non-coding RNA of Arachis stenosperma, 658 nucleotides long. RefSeq lists it as uncharacterized. The record is from RefSeq and is a predicted model, not a curated record. The transcript is spliced from 2 exons. Lineage: Eukaryota; Viridiplantae; Streptophyta; Magnoliopsida; Fabales; Fabaceae.